Molecule: transfer RNA, 65 nt
Filed under: Basilepta melanopus
Lineage: Eukaryota; Metazoa; Arthropoda; Insecta; Coleoptera; Chrysomelidae
Description: tRNA-Asp
Rfam family: tRNA
About the family: Transfer RNA (tRNA) molecules are approximately 80 nucleotides in length.
Source: RNAcentral
AAGAAUUUAGUUAAAUAAUAACAUUAGAUUGUCAAACUAAAAUUAUUUUCAAAUAAUAAUUCUUA